ACUAUUACCUCCUUCUUUCUGAUACUAAACUUACAGAAAUGCAACCUACAAUUUUAGUAGCUCCUGUGGCAGUUAAGGUUCCCCUCUGACUUUCAUUGGGUUUAUAGUAAACAAUAAUUCCAGAUCCUUUUCAUGUGUACCACUGAUAAGCCAGGUUCUCCCACCCACCAGUAGGGCAGUUAACUUUUAUAAGCUAAGGACCAGAAUUUACAACCAAAUAGGGAUAAAUACAAAGAUUGACCUUUGGUCUAUGAGAAGAAAAUCAUCUGAAAAACAUUGAUCUAUUCCAUCCCUAGUUAACUCAUUUAGACCAUGUCAUAAUUUUGCCCAUUUUAACCACUCAUGAUCAGUGUUCCCCAAAUUUGGCUGAAUCAUUUGGGGAGUUAAAAAUAAUAAGGAUAACCAAAAAAAAACCUUCCUUUGUCCAGACCUAUUAGAAUAAAACUUUCUGGGGACGAGGACUGUGUGUUUUAAAAAGCUUUCUAACCCUCUUUAAAUUGAGUAGGAGGAUCUGCUCUGCACUCCCACAAUACUCUAGGCUAUCCUCUACCAAUAGACUGUAUCACAGCCCAGUAUAAUUUUAUAAUUUCAUGUAUAUAUAUAUGCAACAUCAUUAUAAGCUCCAAGAGAGUCAGUCCAUUUCUGUCUUACUCACCAUUAUAGGGCCAUCUUUAAGCAUUAUGCUUAAAAUAUAGAUGGUGCUAAAUAAUUAAUUGAUGAAUGAUUAAAGUGACAUUUAAAAUCAGUGAUGCUAUUUUUGGUAGUUAACAUAAACAAUAAAAUAACUAGAAGCAAUAAACAGUCAACUAAUAGGAGACGAAAGAGAGAUUUGGAAAUAUUCCCUAUGUAGGUAUGUCCCAGAAAAUUAUCAAAAAUAUCAUAUCCUGAAAAAGGCCAAGAGAGCCUGCCCUAAAAAACAAUAUCUCAGGUAGCACCUUUCAAUCCAAUCCAUCAGUGCACAUCUUAAUGGGCUACAUUUAUUUUUCUUAGAACUAACUAGUGAGUAAGCCAAACAGGCAAUUAUAGCAAUAGCCUAAAAUUCUCAAUUUUUUUACUAAAACUCAUCUAACAUAAAACCUGUUGUUUUUCCUACCUAUCUUCUCUUCAUAAGGUCAUAACUGUAAAUUAUUUGUUCAAAUUUACUUACAAGAAAAAAAUCACUCAACAAUUAGAUCUUCGAAAGUAUAAGGAAAAUUUAAUAGCUACUUUGAUUUUAUACAUAAGUAUGAAUUUUGUAAAUGUGAAUGGAAUUUUAACUGGACAUAACAAGAGUCUUAAAAAUUCUGUGAGAAGUGUAAUAUCUACAUGAAAAAGUUACGUUUAUGCAUUAAAUUCAAGUCCACUGAUACUUUGUCAAAAAUAAAGUAUACUAUUAAUUAUUUUCACAAAUGCCAACAGUCAAGAGAAAAUGCAUCGUUUUCUUAUCUAUUUUCUACGUUUUUAUUGUUUAAGACACUUUAUUGCUGUCCAUGUCCAGAAAUAUAAAUGAAAUCCAUCCAUCCAACCUGGCUUCAAUCUAUAGAAAUUAACUGAAAUCCAUCCUUUGAACACAUCUUCAAGUUUCAUUUCUUCACUGAAGCUAUAUUCCCCGUGAUGAGAUAUUCUUCUGUGAAUUCCCAGAGCAAUUUUAAGUAUCUUCUAGUUUACAAGAUAUAAGUAUGACAUACACAUUAGUCUUAUCUUCCCAACCAAAUGACAACUAUAAUCUAUCAAUCACUGAUUGCAUGCCACAUACUGCUCUAUAUGUUUAUAAACAUAAUUACUAAUUUCCAAACAAUUUUGCAAAAUAUUUUUCUCUUGCAGAUUAGAGAGAUCAAAUGAUAUGGUGGAGAUGACAGCUCAAGAGCAAAGCCAAGAUUUGGACCCAGAUCUACAAGACCAAAGACUUGGCUCCCUCCUUCUGUUCUACCAGGCUGAACUUGUAUUCUCUUACAUAUCCACAUACUCUGCUUUCCAAGUAUACAUGCAUGAGAUUUCUCUUUCCCAAGUACAACUCUUAAACAUGGCAUGAAGAACCAAAGGAAGUCCUCCACCACCCAAGGAAAGGUAUGAGACCUAACUAAGCUGGCUUCUUUCUCUCCCAUUACCCCCAGACACAGUUCUUGAUCCAAAGAACAAGUACUUAACCCAAGCAGGGCCAAAGUGCUUUUACAAAGGCACAUAUGCCACACAGGUUCUACUUCCUUCUAAAAUCAAGCAUCAUGAGGAAAAGUGUAGGCCUAGAAACCAUUCUUCACCACCAUGGCUGGGAAAAAAUCUGCCAGAGAACAAAGCCUACAAGAAGGAGAGAAGCCAAGAAAGAGAGGCAAAAUCCUGGUGUCAUCAAUGGAGCCCUUGGUUCCAGUUGUACCUAAAGCCAGAUCCCUCUCUUGAACUUCCCAGCAAUGCAAACCAUCCAGCUUCUAUUUUGCUUAUUUGGGUUUCUGUUCCUUUCAGUAGAAGUAAAUGUAGCCAUGAAGGUCACACAGCUAGUAAAGAACUAAUAAAGUACAAGUAAC
Molecule: long non-coding RNA, 2498 nt
Filed under: Homo sapiens (human)
Lineage: Eukaryota; Metazoa; Chordata; Mammalia; Primates; Hominidae
Description: HSALNT0367315
Source: RNAcentral